UUGAGGCAACACCAAGCUGAUGAGGAGGAGGAGGAGGAGGAUGAUGAUGAUCACCUUGGUCAUGUUUAGAGUAAUGGGCCUGAUUGUUGGAUACUGUAGCAAUGAAUAUUAUUUGGCUUGCCACAUAUUAUCUGCAAUCACUAUGCACAUUGGUUAUGACAUCAUAUUUUAUCUGAACAUUUUUAUGGAAAGUAGACACUUGUGUUGUUCUUCACUUUUCGAUUAGAUGGAUAUGGAAUGAGUGAUUACUUUUGUCAUACUUCAGUUGGACCUUGCAAAGAGAGAGCAUUAACAUUUGAAAACACCUCAUAUGGGUGUUGCUGAUUAAUAUAGGUAGAUUCAAAGCAAAUCAGCCAUACAAUACAUAUAGUUGUUGGCGAUAAAUUUUUGAACCAUCUUGGUAACUUAGAUGUGUCAUGAAUG
Molecule: long non-coding RNA, 423 nt
Filed under: Phoenix dactylifera (date palm)
Lineage: Eukaryota; Viridiplantae; Streptophyta; Magnoliopsida; Arecales; Arecaceae
Description: long non-coding RNA (PDAC_LNC021333)
Source: RNAcentral